RNAcentral lists this ribosomal RNA (761 nucleotides) under uncultured bacterium. RNAcentral's name for it is "bacterial SSU rRNA". It matches the Rfam family "Bacterial small subunit ribosomal RNA", at positions 28 to 776 of the family's 1533-position model. The record is from RNAcentral.
GAUGAACGCUAGCGACAGGUUUAACACAUGCAAGUCGAGGGGCAGCAUUGUAAUUAGCUUGCUAAUUACAGAUGGCGACCGGCGCACGGGUGAGUAACGCGUAUGGAACCUGCCCUUUACAGGGGGAUAGCCCAUGGAAACGUGGAUUAAAAUCCCAUAAUACUUUGUUCAGGCAUCUGGAUGGAGUUAAAUCUACGGAGGUAAAGGAUGGCCAUGCGUCCUAUUAGCUGGUUGGCGGGGUAACGGCCCACCAAGGCGAUGAUAGGUAGGGGUUCUGAGAGGAAGGUCCCCCACAUUGGAACUGAGACACGGUCCAAACUCCUACGGGAGGCAGCAGUGAGGAAUAUUGGUCAAUGGGCGCUAGCCUGAACCAGCCAAGUAGCGUGAAGGAUGAAGGCUCUAUGGGUCGUAAACUUCUUUUAUAUAAGAAUAAAGUGCAGUAUGUAUACUGUUUUGUAUGUAUUAUAUGAAUAAGGAUCGGCUAACUCCGUGCCAGCAGCCGCGGUAAUACGGAGGAUCCGAGCGUUAUCCGGAUUUAUUGGGUUUAAAGGGAGCGUAGGUGGACUGGUAAGUCAGUUGUGAAAGUUUGCGGCUCAACCGUAAAAUUGCAGUUGAUACUGUCAGUCUUGAGUACAGUAGAGGUGGGCGGAAUAAGUUAAGUAGCGGUGAAAUGCUUAGAUAUAACUUAGAACUCCGAUAGCGAAGGCAGCUUACCAGACUGUGACUGACGCUGAAGCACGAGAGCGUGGGUAGCGAACAGG